CCAAUUCUCAUUAUUGGGAUCCGUCUAAACCUUUAAAUAAAGAAACCGAGCAAAACUUAGAAACAUCUGUUGGGUAAAAAGGUUAAUUUAGCCUUUGUUUUCUUUUUUAGUUUAAUUUGUUUUUACACCAAUAUAUAUAUAUAUCAAAUCUCUAAUCUCUAUUAGCAAAAAUUUUUUGAAUUCUCAUUGUUGUAUUAUGAAAC
RNAcentral lists this long non-coding RNA (203 nucleotides) under Gossypium raimondii (Peruvian cotton). Its description in RNAcentral is "long non-coding RNA (GRAI_LNC009825)". Lineage: Eukaryota; Viridiplantae; Streptophyta; Magnoliopsida; Malvales; Malvaceae. The record is from RNAcentral.